This 440-nucleotide ribosomal RNA is filed under the name uncultured bacterium. RNAcentral describes it as "bacterial SSU rRNA". It matches the Rfam family "Bacterial small subunit ribosomal RNA", at positions 338 to 795 of the family's 1533-position model. The record is from RNAcentral.
CCUACGGGAGGCAGCAGUGGGGAAUCUUGCGCAAUGGGGGAAACCCUGACGCAGCCAUGCCGCGUGAAUGAUGAAGGUCUUAGGAUUGUAAAAUUCUUUCAGCGGGGACGAUAAUGACGGUACCCGCAGAAGAAGCCCCGGCUAACUUCGUGCCAGCAGCCGCGGUAAUACGAAGGGGGCUAGCGUUGCUCGGAUUUACUGGGCGUAAAGGGCGCGUAGGCGGGUCAUCAAGUUGGGGGUGAAAGCCCGGGGCUCAACCUCGGAAUUGCCCUCAAAACUGAUGGCCUUGAGUACGGGAGAGGUGUGUGGAACUCCGAGUGUAGAGGUGAAAUUCGUAGAUAUUCGGAAGAACACCAGUGGCGAAGGCGACACACUGGCCCGUUACUGACGCUGAGGCGCGAAAGCGUGGGGAGCAAACAGGAUUAGAUACCCUAGUAGUC